RNAcentral lists this non-coding RNA (4046 nucleotides) under Pan troglodytes (chimpanzee). Lineage: Eukaryota; Metazoa; Chordata; Mammalia; Primates; Hominidae. The record is from RNAcentral.
AGGCAUGCGGGUUUAUUGUUAGAAUUAAUGGACUAUUAAUAAGAAAUGUAGAUAAUGUAUGCUGCAGAGCUUUGAAAAUCCUGAAACACACCCUAAGGGUUAUGGAAUUUACAUCUUUCAUAGCUUCUAUUAUUUCUUCACUAGUUUGCAGCUAUGCCCACACCUGGAAGGUGACAAAAGGUGGAGUUUACUUUCUCGCCCGUGUCAGCAGUCAUACGGUGGAAUCCAUGAAAAUUGGAUUUCCUUUUUCUGGUGCGUUUUACUCUUGAACUGUGUAACUGUGGAUAACUUUAAUACUGCCCAUUCUUUGUUUACAGUUAUAUAAUUUCUAUUAGCCUUAAAAGUAACCGAUAUAUUUCUUUUUUAAGGUUUCAGUAUAAAACAUAAUCUGCAUCUUCAUUAUGAAACUCAUAUGCAAUUUUCUUCUAUCUCUAGAAGUUUAGAUUGAGGUUUAAAAGAACCAUUUUCAUUAUCAAGCUUCCCCAUAGUUUCCCACUUUCUUAUUCCAAAUAUUUUUAAAAAUCACACCAAAUAUCAGAGCUUUUAGCAAUAUAAAGAAAGAUUUAUUUUCAAAAGUAGCAAAACUUGUUUGAAAAAAAUAUAUAUCUUUAAGUGAAUUACUUUAUAAAUGUGACUGUCAAAGUCAGCUAUCCUAUGAUCUACAUUUUACAACAUAUUGUACAAAAGAUACAUUGAUAGGCUCUUAUCUAUUUAUAUAUUUAUAAUUACAUAUUGCACUUGGACCAGCAAGGCUUGCAGAGUCAUUCACGGUAGAAGUUAAUAAAGUUAAAUAGAUGGCAAUCUUUGUAAGUACAAUUGAUCUCCUCUGGUUUGGAAACGAAUCUCCUCGUCGUUGUAAAGUGUUCUCGCGGGGUGGGACAGAGAGAGGAGCAUUGCGAGGGGGAAGCAGAGACAGAGAGCACUGAGGGCAGGGGUCGCCUUCCCGGGGCCCGCUCCCCCCGGGAGCGCGCCUUUCCCAGACUCGCACCUCCAAGGUCAGGACGCGGUGGUUCCACAUAAGCGGCUCGCGGUCACCACUUCCUUCAGGUCACUCUCGGGUUUCCCGGCCACCAUAAAGGGCCACGUCUGCGGGAAAGAAGAGGGUGGAGGAGGUGGAGAUUUAAAUGACCACAUCCACCCUAAGAUUUAUUGUGAGAAUGAUUGAUGUUAUAAACCAGGAAAAGGACUCUUCCCACAGCAGGGAUGACAGAAAUAUCAAGCUGAAGUUGCCUUUGUCUUCACAUACGAAUGACCCAGUACUACAACACAGAAAGUAUAAUAAUUUAAUCUGAGGUUCAAGACAGCAGUGAGAGAACACCCAGCAGGCCUGUUAAAAAUUUCUUCACUAAUUCCUCAACCAGUUUCCUUUGAUUUGCUCUCCCUUUUCUCAGUCUUGGUAAAACAUGAAAGUUAAAGUUAUUUUUAGACUACAGAGCUAUGUGAAAAUGGGCAUUGGCCAAUACUUUGUGAAAUGUGUGUGUGUGUGUGUAGCUACUAAGAUAUCUGCAAAAUAACUACAAAUAAUUAAUUUGGACUCUGGAAUGUGAUAAUUAUUAUAAAUCCAAACUAUGGCCUUACUGCAUACAUUAAGCUGUGAUUUUUCUUGUUGGAGCCAUUUUUUUUUCUUUUUGGCUCUGGGUCUCUGUUACACCUUAGUUAAUGGACUGCUCAGGCUGUCUGGGGAGAUAGUAAAAAUCAUAGUAAUAUGUACCACUGAAAAGAUUUCUGUUGUCUGUAUAUUUUUCAAUGUUGGAAACUUAAAAGUACCAAUUUCUGGAAGCAUGUAAAAUUAGCCUCAUGUCAUAGGAUGGUUUUUAUGCUUAGCAAUUAUUUUUCUUCAUAGCCAUAUAAGAAAUAAUUAAGUCCCAUGUCCAUUUAUCUUGCAGUAAGACAUUUGGGCUGAGAAAGGCUAGUGGGCUGAUAAUAAAUUUUGGAGUGUUUCUAAAAUUCUGUAAAAGAUGGCUUCCAGUUUGGGAGUAAGAGUCAAAGAAUACUGUUGCUUAUGUAUCUUGAUAUGAAGUCUUGGAGAGAGAAUAUUCAUAUGAAAAAUACUUUUUUUCUUUUAAAAUUUUGUGUCUAUCCCUGCUAAUAAACACUUAGGGACAAAUGGGUGGGAGAAAUGACUUCUUGUUGGAUUCUACUGAGCAAGUCAGUUAAGCUGUAACUUAAGCUGUGCCAAAUUCUCCCAAAAUAUAAACUAUAUUCUGUGAGAAGACAAGCACUUUUGAGAAGCUGUAUUAACCCUUUUGGUAAGUUGACCACUUCUGUUCCAAAGCACGAAAUAGAAAACUCGUGAUUUGAAAGUAUGAGAUCAUUUCUAAAAGUUCUUACCUGACUUUUAAGAAGCAGUUAUGCCCCAGAGGCAUCUGGCCAAUUUGCUGCUCACUUCUAACAAUUUGUUUUGCAAGAGAGACUAUCUUUGAAAGAUUUUAGUGCUAAGGAAAUUUUAUCUCUGAAAGCUGUAAAAUGAAGAUUAGGCAUGGAAUGUACCCUUGAACUUAAAUCCUGGUUUAUCAGCUGAUACAUUUACAGGAAGUUCAAAUUUGAUUCAGUUGCACUUGGAUGGAAUAAUUUGCUUCCUUUUUUAUGAGAAGGAAAACAUCAUAGGCUUCCUUUGAACUGACUUCAUAUGCCAUUACAUAAUCUUUCUCAGGGGAAAAAUAUGCCUUUAAAUUUAAAUGUUAAUCCUUUUCUCUUACUCCUCAUCAUUUGGUCAGGAGACACAGGCUGGCAAAUUGGCAAAACUGCCCAUUCUCUUUUUUCUUCAUUUCUAAUUAGCACCGCCAGAUGUUUUAUUCAUUUUAUUUGAUGGUAACUACCACCACUUCAAAUAUUUGCCAACUUUCUAUGCAAGUUGACGCCUUUUUUUUUUUCUUUUUUUGAUGGAGUCUUGCUCUGUCACCCAAGCUGGAGUGCAUCAGCACGAUCUAGGCUCACUGCAACCUCUGCCUCCCAGGUUCAAGAGAUUCUCAUGCCUCAGCCUCCCGAGUAGCUAGAAUUACAGGUGCCUGCCACCAUGCCUAUCAAAUUUUUGUAUUUUUAGUAGAGGUGGGGUUUCACCAUUUUGGCCAGGCUGGUUUCAAACUCCUGAUCUACCCACCUCGGCCUCCCAAAGUGCUGGGAUUACAGGCAUGAGCCACCGUGCCCAGCCAGGUGCCUCUUUUUUGAUUUUACAUAAUUAUCUCCAUAUACUUUGUUUGCUGCUGAUUGAUUGUUGUCUAUCUCCCACUUAUAUGCCUAUCAAACUCUGACUUUGUUUCAUUAAAUUUUAACUUUAUUUAAUAAAGUGGGCAUUACCUCUCUUUGCUCAUUCUAAAUUAUAGUGGUGCUGUCCUGUUAUAUUUUGGCAGCCAAAGUGAAUAUGGCACUAGUGAGCUUGGUGGCUAGCUAAGAAGGUCAAUAACAGUGAUGCUGGGUGUUGCUGCUACCUUUACCUGGCACCAGCUGGGAGACGGUAUAAAUCCUGGAUGGUAUAAAUCCAUUCAGUAAUUAGAAGUCUUCUGCAUGUUCACUAUACCCUAACCCCCUCUUUUCACAUUGAAUUCAGUGAAUUGUAGAUAAGAUGCCACAUUGCUAAGAUUUAAAGGUGGCAAAUAACAACAAUAAAGUCUAGGGAAAGAUUCUGCAUGGUUCUUUGAAUCCAGGAGUUAAUCUUGCAUUUCACAUGUUCCACAAUACAGCUUUGAAAGCAGCCAAGCCUAUGCACUUGAAAGUCAGAGUUUACCCUAAGGUGUAAGUGGGCCAGAGAAAACUCGGGCAGACAAAGAGAGUUAAAAAUUUUGCAAAGCCAGUUUAAUGUCCUCCUAAGUUUUCUAAUACUAGAAUAAUUUUAUUAGACCCUCUCAGUGUUAGGAAAGAGAGAGAAAAGGACUGAGCGACUCCUGAGUCAGGUACCAUGCAGGGACUUUUGCCUCCAUUCUCUCAUUUCAUGUAUUUUCUCUCCUUUCUGUUGGCACUACUAAAGAAAGAGCUGCCACAUGAAAUGAACAGUGUAUUAGAAAUGUAUGCCAGAGGCUUUCCCCUGUAAUAAAGUUUUAGAAAAACUG